This 467-nucleotide ribosomal RNA is filed under the name uncultured bacterium. RNAcentral describes it as "partial 16S ribosomal RNA". It matches the Rfam family "Bacterial small subunit ribosomal RNA", at positions 28 to 507 of the family's 1533-position model. The record is from RNAcentral.
GACGAACGCUGGCGGCGUGCUUAACACAUGCAAGUCGAACGGAAAGGCUCCAGCUUGCUGGAGUACUCGAGUGGCGAACGGGUGAGUAACACGUGGGUAAUCUGCCCUGCACUCUGGGAUAAGCCUGGGAAACUGGGGCUAAUACUGGAUAUGACCUUUCUCCUUAUGGGGUUUGGUGGAAAGUUUUUCGGUGUAGGAUGAGCCCGCGGCCUAUCAGCUUGUUGGUGGGGUGAUGGCCUACCAAGGCGACGACGGGUAGCCGGCCUGAGAGGGUGAUCGGCCACAUUGGGACUGAGAUACGGCCCAGACUCCUACGGGAGGCAGCAGUGGGGAAUAUUGCACAAUGGGCGGAAGCCUGAUGCAGCGACGCCGCGUGAGGGAUGACGGCCUUCGGGUUGUAAACCUCUUUCAGCAGGGACGAAGCGUAAGUGACGGUACCUGCAGAAGAAGCACCGGCUAACUACGUG